Molecule: long non-coding RNA, 3153 nt
Organism: Vespa crabro (European hornet)
Lineage: Eukaryota; Metazoa; Arthropoda; Insecta; Hymenoptera; Vespidae
Exons: 2
Source: RefSeq, a predicted model, not a curated record
GUCCUCGUACGUUUCUCUAUAACGUUGAUGUUGUUGUCGUUGCCGUUGUCAUUGUCGUUAUUGUUGUUGUCCUCGUCGUAGUCGUAGUCGUAGUCGUGUGGCCCACAUGUCAACUUCUCGACAAUGCCAUAUAGCAGAAAACAUUCGAAGCACGUGUUCUUCGCGUUGAAAGUAAUGAUAUUCGCGGAAGAAAGAACAAGUUCUCAACUUCUCUCAGAGUCAUCUAAGAUAUUAUCCUUUUACUAUAUAUAUAUAUAUAUAUAUAUAUAUAUAUAUAUAUAUAUAUAUAUAUAUACAUUUUUUUUAAAGGAAAAUAAUACAAGAUGUUUCAUAAGUAAAUAUUCCACAUCAUUGAAACUUCCGAUUAAACCAGAAACAACAUGGCGAUAACCGAUAGAGGAUAUUUUCAAGAAUUCAUAUAGCGUCGUAUAGCGUCGUAACAAUUCGUCUCGUUUCGUUUGUCAUUUCGUGUCAUCUAGCAAUUUAUAAUAAUACGCGCUGGUUUCGAAUUAGAUAUGUAUUUAAAUACUUAUAUACCUUAUAUUCACUCCCACCGGUUAAAUAUCGAUGAGUGAUUGCGGGACGAGAAAAAAAGUGGGGGAAUGUGUGUGUGUGUGUGUGUAAAUAUGUAUGUAUGUAUAUACGUAUAGAUAUGUACGAGUCGCGAGCUCUUACGUAAAUGUUACUUUUUGUUAGUUACCCUCUUUCUUAUGUCAGUUAAUUCGCUUGAUACGGGACGAGUUAUCGAUCGGCGUUACGUAAUAUCUAUGUAAAUAUAUACGUGAUACAUGGUCAAGAGGGGGUGGGUCCAGGAAUGGUUAAGAGGAUAUUAAAAACCGAUAACGAGGGUCAAUCACUUUCCAAUAGCAUUUAUUAAUUAUUGCUGAAUGUUGUUUUGAUUAGGUUUCCUAUACUUCUUUUUUUUUCAUUUUUCUUUCUUUUUUUAUUUAAGUAUCAAUUUAAGAAAAUGUAUGAAUUUGAAGACAUCAUGUAUAUUGUAUAUACGUUUUUAAAUAUAGAGGAAUUAAUUUUGAUAGAAAUUUUGAAACACCUUGUAUACAUAUACGUCAUUCGGAUUAUUUUGAUAAUAUUUUAUCAAACCUUGGUCAAACUUCUGAAUGAGGUUUUGUCGUAAAUGUCGAGGUCGACCUGUUGCUGACAAUGGAUAAUUAACGAACUACGGAUCACUCUUUAAAAAGCAAUGGAGUAUAUAAAAGUGUUCAACUAUAUAUGUAUAUAUAAUAUUUGUAUUAGUAUUAGUAUAAGCAAAACUAUUAGAGCAUUUCUAAUACCGUAUCAUAUCUGUGUAUAUGUGUAUGUAAGUAUAACAUUUCUUACUAUUAUUAUAUUGUUACUAUUAUAUUUAUUAUACUACACUCUAUUAUUAUUUCUUAUUCUACUCUAAUAUUAAAUAUAUUACAUAAAUAUAGUAUUUCAGUGAGUUUUGUAAUACAAUGUUUUGUAUACAAUAAACAAUAUGUAAUACAAUAUUAAUAUUUCUAAUACUAUUUCUAAUACAAGUUUUUCAUAUAUAUAUAUAUUUGAGUAGUUUCUAUCAUACUACACGGGAUGUUCAAACAAUCCCAAUAACGAGUUACGUUACGAGAAACUCAUAAGCGAUCAUAAAACGAUCGUUCAAUUUUAAUAGUCUUCACAAACGUAACUAACAUAGAGAAACGAUGAAGUCAAACGUUGUUAUAGGAGGGUCACCGAGAAUGGUUGUUGAAUAUAUGUCGCUUAGAUAAUACAAAAAAAAAAGAAAAAGAAAAAGAAAGACAAAGAAAAAAGAAGCAAGUGAAAAUAAGAAAUGAAAUAAUGUCUCGUAACCAUGGGAUUCUCCAUGGUUCAGAGUAUUACCACAGUCUGCGGUUUGCCAUGACCGAUAACACACACAACACAAAUCGACAUUUUUCGGUUGUACGUAAGAUUAUUAUUGGUGUAUUUCUGUGUUUCGAUAUGAUAUAUGCCUACAUAUGCAUACGUAUGAGUAUAUAUGUAUAUAUAUACAUACGCAUAUAUAUAUAUAUAUACAUAUAUAUAUAUAUAUAUAUAUAUAUAUAUUAUAUUGAUAAACGGCUCAAGCAAUUCUAUGUACCAUGACAACGCAAUCUGGCAACCCUGUAGCAGGAGUACCAGCAGCAGCAGUAACAGCAGCAGCAGCAGCGGAGCGGCCAGCAGUGUUCUUGGGGUUGAAUUUCAAACGCCCGAGGGACAGAGGGGGUCCGGCCUCUCUCUUUUGUAUAAGGGGCACGAGGGCUCCGUCCGCCGAUGCUCUCUACAGCAUAACGGUGAGUCUCGGCGGCCAUAUUGCGGGGCUUAUGGCCGUCUGCCCGGUUCGGCCUGCUCGGUAAGCAGCAGCAGUAACAGCAGCAACAGCAGCAGCAGUGUCGGCUCAAGAGGAAAACCGAGUUCCCGUCCCCCACUUCCUUCACCCUUCCCUGCCACUCCACCCCCCCUUCUUCGUGGCCUUAUCCCUCUCCCCCACUGUCCCGCUCACGACCCCCCUCUUUGCCUUUCCUUUUCCUGCAGGCAAUUCUUUACCCGUAACUUUGGAAUCGGGUAUUCCCUGGCAAACCUCGAUUCUACUGUCGCAAGGACGUAUUUCUUUUAAAUAGGAUUGUCGUGAAUUUUCGCUAUUUUUAAUCUAUCGCAACAAAAUCGUUUUUAUAAUUCUUCUUUUGUUUGGUCUACUUAUUUUUUUUUGUUUUUUUCUGUUGUCUUGGCUUUUUCCCCCCAUUUUUUUUUUUUUUAAGAAAACCGAGAGAUAAAUAUUUUUUGUGUUUAUAAGUAUUUUUGUUAGAUUAUUUUAAUAUUCUGUGUUUUUCUUUUGUGAGAAGAUUUCGAUGACGAAUUUGUUUUAAAUAUAAUAUCAAAUAAUAUGUCAUUGCCAAGAACCACAUUACCUUUGCGCGUUAUUUUUUUUUUUAUCUAUAUUAUCAGUAAAGAUCAACAAUUUUUUUGUUUCUUGAAUUUUUAAGAAAAUUUGUAAGAUAAUAUUAUCUUUAAAUAUUUUUGCUGGAUUAUUUUGAUUCUUUAUUUUUUAUAUUUCACAGAGAUAUCGUUAACGAUCUCUGUAGAAAUAAGAAUUUGUUAAAAAAAAAAAAAGGAAAACGUCAUCCCUAAAAACCAAUUGAAAAACGAAAAGAUAAUAGA